This 1220-nucleotide ribosomal RNA is filed under the name Staphylococcus sp. KSUM_13. Its description in RNAcentral is "bacterial SSU rRNA". It matches the Rfam family "Bacterial small subunit ribosomal RNA", at positions 1 to 1171 of the family's 1533-position model. The record is from RNAcentral. Lineage: Bacteria; Bacillati; Bacillota; Bacilli; Caryophanales; Staphylococcaceae.
UAAAGGAUGGGAAGUUUGAGGUAAUGGGGGGAUUUUGUGAGUGUUUGGAUUCGCUCAGGAUGAACGCUGGCGGCGUGCCUAAUACAUGCAAGUCGAGCGAACGGACGAGAAGCUUGCUUCUCUGAUGUUAGCGGCGGACGGGUGAGUAACACGUGGAUAACCUACCUAUAAGACUGGGAUAACUUCGGGAAACCGGAGCUAAUACCGGAUAAUAUUUUGAACCGCAUGGUUCAAAAGUGAAAGACGGUCUUGCUGUCACUUAUAGAUGGAUCCGCGCUGCAUUAGCUAGUUGGUAAGGUAACGGCUUACCAAGGCAACGAUGCAUAGCCGACCUGAGAGGGUGAUCGGCCACACUGGAACUGAGACACGGUCCAGACUCCUACGGGAGGCAGCAGUAGGGAAUCUUCCGCAAUGGGCGAAAGCCUGACGGAGCAACGCCGCGUGAGUGAUGAAGGUCUUCGGAUCGUAAAACUCUGUUAUUAGGGAAGAACAUAUGUGUAAGUAACUGUGCACAUCUUGACGGUACCUAAUCAGAAAGCCACGGCUAACUACGUGCCAGCAGCCGCGGUAAUACGUAGGUGGCAAGCGUUAUCCGGAAUUAUUGGGCGUAAAGCGCGCGUAGGCGGUUUUUUAAGUCUGAUGUGAAAGCCCACGGCUCAACCGUGGAGGGUCAUUGGAAACUGGAAAACUUGAGUGCAGAAGAGGAAAGUGGAAUUCCAUGUGUAGCGGUGAAAUGCGCAGAGAUAUGGAGGAACACCAGUGGCGAAGGCGACUUUCUGGUCUGUAACUGACGCUGAUGUGCGAAAGCGUGGGGAUCAAACAGGAUUAGAUACCCUGGUAGUCCACGCCGUAAACGAUGAGUGCUAAGUGUUAGGGGGUUUCCGCCCCUUAGUGCUGCAGCUAACGCAUUAAGCACUCCGCCUGGGGAGUACGACCGCAAGGUUGAAACUCAAAGGAAUUGACGGGGACCCGCACAAGCGGUGGAGCAUGUGGUUUAAUUCGAAGCAACGCGAAGAACCUUACCAAAUCUUGACAUCCUUUGACAACUCUAGAGAUAGAGCUUUCCCCUUCGGGGGACAAAGUGACAGGUGGUGCAUGGUUGUCGUCAGCUCGUGUCGUGAGAUGUUGGGUUAAGUCCCGCAACGAGCGCAACCCUUAAGCUUAGUUGCCAUCAUUAAGUUGGGCACUCUAAGUUGACUGCCGGUGACAAACCGGAGGAA